This 492-nucleotide ribosomal RNA is filed under the name Streptococcus mutans. Its description in RNAcentral is "bacterial SSU rRNA". It matches the Rfam family "Bacterial small subunit ribosomal RNA", at positions 28 to 496 of the family's 1533-position model. Lineage: Bacteria; Bacillati; Bacillota; Bacilli; Lactobacillales; Streptococcaceae. The record is from RNAcentral.
GACGAACGCUGGCGGCGUGCCUAAUACAUGCAAGUGGGACGCAAGGGAACACACUGUGCUUGCACACCGUGUUUUCUUGAGUCGCGAACGGGUGAGUAACGCGUAGGUAACCUGCCUAUUAGCGGGGGAUAACUAUUGGAAACGAUAGCUAAUACCGCAUAAUAUUAAUUAUUGCAUGAUAAUUGAUUGAAAGAUGCAAGCGCAUCACUAGUAGAUGGACCUGCGUUGUAUUAGCUAGUUGGUAAGGUAAGAGCUUACCAAGGCGACGAUACAUAGCCGACCUGAGAGGGUGAUCGGCCACACUGGGACUGAGACACGGCCCAGACUCCUACGGGAGGCAGCAGUAGGGAAUCUUCGGCAAUGGACGAAAGUCUGACCGAGCAACGCCGCGUGAGUGAAGAAGGUUUUCGGAUCGUAAAGCUCUGUUGUAAGUCAAGAACGUGUGUGAGAGUGGAAAGUUCACACAGUGACGGAGCUACCAGAAAGGACGCA